CACCGCGGUUAUACGAGAGGCCCAAGUUGACAAACACCGGCGUAAAGCGUGGUUAAGUUAAUUCUCAUACUAAAGCCAAACACCUUCAAAGCUGUUAUACGCAACCGAAGGCAGGAAGUUCAACCACGAAAGUGGCUUUAAUUUGAUCUGAACCCACGAAAGCUAAGGAA
RNAcentral lists this ribosomal RNA (170 nucleotides) under Icelinus filamentosus (threadfin sculpin). RNAcentral's name for it is "partial 12S rRNA". The record is from RNAcentral. RNAcentral also lists the same sequence under 1 other name. Lineage: Eukaryota; Metazoa; Chordata; Actinopteri; Perciformes; Cottidae.